AGAGUUUGAUCCUGGCUUAGGAUGAACGCUGGCGGUGUGCCUAAUACAUGCAAGUCGAUCGGGCGUAGCAAUACGUCAGAGGCGUACGGGUGAGUAACACGUAGGUAACCUACCUUAAGACUGGGAUACCCAGACGAAAGUUUGGCUAAUACCGGAUAACAACAUUUGAGACAUCUCUUUUGUUUGAAAGGCGCUGCAAGGCGCCACUUUUAGAUGGACCUGCGUCGCAUUAGCUAGUUGGUGAGAUAAAAGCCCACCAAGGCUGGGAUGCGUAGCCGAUCUGAGAGGAUGACCGGCCACAAUGGGACUGAGACACGGCCCAUACUCCUACGGGAGGCAGCAGUAGGGAGUUUUCGGCAAUGGGGGAAACCCUGACCGAGCAACACCGCGUGAGUGAAUGAAGGUCUUCGGAUCGUAAAGCUCUGUUACGAGGGACGAAUGAUCGCUUUAGGAAAUGAGAGCGGUUUGACGGUACCUCGCCAGAAAGCGACGGCUAACUACGUGCCAGCCGCCGC
RNAcentral lists this ribosomal RNA (515 nucleotides) under uncultured bacterium. Its description in RNAcentral is "bacterial SSU rRNA". It matches the Rfam family "Bacterial small subunit ribosomal RNA", at positions 8 to 518 of the family's 1533-position model. The record is from RNAcentral.